RNAcentral lists this ribosomal RNA (443 nucleotides) under uncultured bacterium. RNAcentral's name for it is "partial 16S ribosomal RNA". It matches the Rfam family "Bacterial small subunit ribosomal RNA", at positions 338 to 795 of the family's 1533-position model. The record is from RNAcentral.
CCUACGGGGGGCAGCAGUGGGGAAUAUUGGGCAAUGGGCGCAAGCCUGACCCAGCAACGCCGCGUGAAGGAAGAAGGAUUUCGGGUUAUAAACUUCUUUUCUGAGGGACGACGAAAGUGACGGUACCUCAGGAAUAAGCCACGGCUAACUACGUGCCAGCAGCCGCGGUAAUACGUAGGUGGCAAGCGUUAUCCGGAUUUAUUGGGUGUAAAGGGCGUGUAGGCGGGAAAGCAAGUCAGAUGUGAAAACUCAUGGCUCAACCCUGAGCCUGCAUUUGAAACUGUUUUUCUUGAGUGCUGGAGAGGCAAUCGGAAUUCCGUGUGUAGCGGUGAAAUGCGUAGAUAGACGGAGGAACACCAGUGGCGAAGGCGGAUUGCUGGACAGUAACUGACGCUGAGGCGCGAAAGCGUGGGGAGCAAACAGGAUUAGAUACCCGGGUAGUC